RNA transcript from Xiphias gladius (swordfish), 6792 nucleotides. It is a transcript of the gene named rho-associated, coiled-coil containing protein kinase 2a, with no coding region annotated. Lineage: Eukaryota; Metazoa; Chordata; Actinopteri; Istiophoriformes; Xiphiidae. The record is from RefSeq and is a predicted model, not a curated record. The transcript has 33 exons.
GGUGUGUUGAUGUCAGGAGGAGGAGAAAGACUUCAGACUCAGUGUGUGUUGGUGUGUAGAUGUGAGUGUACGGCGAGGAAUUCAGACGCUGGAGGACUUUUCUCCAUGCAUUAAAACUUCACAGUGUUUCGCGACUCAAGCCUGUAACGAGGACACAACGGAGCGGGCAAAUGCGAAGAUGCGAGAAGAAAUCCAGGAAGAGAGUGUCUGCCUAUUAAAAAUUCCGCGCGGGAGAACAGACAUUAUCGCCGUUUCAGACUUGUGGCAGCACUGAGGAUAAACUACAAUACUAACGGGCUUCAAAGAUCAUUGAAUGGGGUGAAACGAAGCGGGGUUUUUCUCGAAAAAGCGAGUCCAAAGCUUUUCCAAGCGGCCAAAAACCAAAGGGAAGGGGAGGAGAGGGGGGCAAAGAAAACGCCCUGCUGCCUGUUGCUGGUAUCUCCAAAUUCAAACUUUAUCGCCGAGUUGGAAAAAUGCAUCUUUCACUUAACAGGAGGUGAUAAAUCAAGUGUAACGUUGUCGUUAUUAGCUCCAAGCCAAAUAGCUGGCUAACUGAAGGCCCCGCUUACUUGGCAAGUUUUGGGAAGCGGGGAGUCUCUUUGCUCUGGGAAUAUUUUCUCUUCAUUGUGCACACUAUUCCCGUUGGAGGCGAGUUGGGUGGGCUGCGAGCCCAAGGCUGCUCCGCUAGGCCCAGGGCCAUUAGCCAGGAACAAAGAGGUUUCACAUGUAAACUCAAACAGUUUGGAAAACCUGUCCAUAUUUUUACACCGUUUCUAAUGACCGACGCCGCCGCAGUCAUGUCGCUGGGCGCCGAGAGGAGGAUGGAAACCCGGCUGAAGAAGCUGGAGGACAUGAUCAGAGACCCCAGAUCCUCCGUAAACUUGGAAAGUUUGCUGGACUCCAUGAACGCCUUGGUCUUAGACUUGGACUACCCUGCACUACGAAAGAACAAAAACAUCGAAACCUUCUUAAACAGAUAUGAGAAAGUCAUAGGACAAAUUCGAGACCUCCAGAUGAAAUCUGAAGACUUUGAAAGAGUUAAAGUAAUUGGUCGAGGGGCGUUUGGUGAAGUCCAACUGGUCAGGCACAAAGCCUCCCAGAAGGUUUACGCCAUGAAGCUGCUGAGCAAAUUUGAGAUGAUCAAGCGCUCAGAUUCCGCCUUUUUCUGGGAAGAGAGGGACAUCAUGGCCUUCGCUAACAGUCCCUGGGUAGUGCAGUUGUGCUGUGCCUUCCAAGAUGAGCACUACCUCUACAUGGUGAUGGAGUACAUGCCAGGAGGUGACUUGGUCAACCUCACCAGCACCUACGAUGUGCCAGAGAAAUGGGCCAAGUUCUACACAGCAGAGGUCGUGAUGGCCCUGGAUGCCAUUCACUCCAUGGGCUUCAUCCACCGCGAUGUCAAGCCGGACAACAUGCUGCUGGACAGACAUGGACACCUCAAGCUGGCUGACUUUGGCACGUGUAUGAAGAUGGACUCUACCGGCAUGGUGCACUGUGAUACAGCAGUCGGGACUCCAGACUACAUCUCUCCUGAGGUGCUGAAGUCCCAGGGAGGAGAUGGAUAUUAUGGGAGAGAGUGCGACUGGUGGUCUGUAGGGGUCUUCAUCUUUGAGAUGCUUGUUGGUGACACGCCGUUCUACGCUGACUCUCUGGUGGGAACGUACAGUAAGAUAAUGGACCAUAAGAACUCUCUAAACUUCCCCGAUGAUGUGGAGAUCUCCAAAGAUGCAAAGAACAUCAUCUGUGCCUUCCUGACUGACAGGGAGGUACGAUUGGGCAGGAACGGCGUGGAGGAAAUCAAGCGACACCCUUUCUUCAAGAACGACCAGUGGACUUUCUACACCAUCAGAGACACGGUUGCCCCUGUGGUCCCAGAGCUGAGCAGUGACAUAGACACCAGUAACUUUGAUGAGAUUGAAGAUGACAAAGGCGAUGUAGAAACUUUUCCCACACCUAAGGCCUUUGUUGGAAAUCAGUUACCCUUUGUCGGCUUCACUUACUUCAAAGAAGACCAGUUACUAACUACUCCCAACAAUUCCUCAGUGACCCAUGAGAGUUCAAAGGGACAGUCAGCAGCAUUGCAGAAGAAACUUCACCACCUAGAGGUGCAAAUGAAUAAUGACAAGCAGGUCAAAGAUGAUCUAGAGAACAAGUACAGAGCAGCCACUAGUCGUCUGGACAAAAUCUCUAAAGAACUUGAAGAAGAGGUGAGCGGAAGAAAGAACCUGGAGUCGAGUCUGAGGCAGCUGGAGAGAGAGAAGGCCCUGCUGCAGCACAAGAGCCUGGAGAGCCACCGCAAGGCUGAGAGCGAGGCUGACAGGAAGCGCUGCCUGGAGAAUGAAGUCAACAGCCUACGAGACCAGCUGGAUGACAUGAAGAGGAGAAACCAGAAUUCGCACAUUUCAAAUGAGAAGAACAUUCACCUGCAGAAACAGCUGGAAGAAGCCAACACACUGCUGCGGGCUGAGUCUGAGGCAGCGACGAGGCUCCGUAAAGCCCAGACGGAGAGCAGCAAGCAGUUGCAGCAGCUAGAGGCAAACGUACGCGAGCUACAGGACAAAUGCUGCCUGCUGGAGCGCAGCAAGCUGAGUCUGGAGAAGGAAUGCAUCAGCCUGCAGGCGGCUCUGGAGACGGAGAGGAGGGAGCACAGCCAGGGCUCGGAGACCAUCAGUGACCUUAUGGGACGGAUCUCUGGUCUGGAGGAGGAGGCGCGUCAGCAGAGACAGGCCCUGUCCAAAGUUGAGACGGAGAAGAGACAGCUUCAGGAGAAACUCACUGAUCUAGAGAAGGAGAAGAGCAACAAAGAGAUUGAUUUGACCUACAAGCUGAAGGUGCUGCAGCAAGAGCUGGAGCAGGAGGAGACCUCUCACAAGGCCACCAGGGCACUGCUGGCAGACAAGAGCAAGAUCAAAGUAACCAUCGAGGGUGCCAAGUCAGAAUCCAUGAAGGAGCUGGAGCAGAAGCUUGCCGAAGAGCGAGCAGCCAAACUGCGCCUGGAGAACAGAAUACUGGAGCUGGAGAAACACAGCAGCAUGAUGGACUGUGACUAUAAACAGGCCUUACAGAAACUAGAUGAGCUGCGCAGACAUAAGGACCGCCUCACUGAGGAGGUGAAGAACCUGACACUGAAGAUUGAGCAGGAGACCCAGAAGCGUAUCCUGACUCAGAAUGACCUGAAGGCCCAGAACCAGCAGCUCAGUGCUCUGAGAACUUCAGAGAAACAGCUCAAACAGGAAACGAAUCACCUGCUGGACAUUAAACGCAGCUUGGAGAAACAGAACCAAGAGCUGCGCAAAGAAAGACAGGACACAGAUGGGCAAAUGAAGGAAUUACAGGACCAGUUAGAAGCUGAACAGUAUUUCUCCACGUUGUAUAAGACCCAGGUUCGUGAACUAAAGGAGGAGUGUGAGGAGAGGAACAAACUCUACAAAGACGUGCAGCAGUCUCUGCAAGAGCUACAAGAGGAGAGGGACUCGUUGGCGGCUCAGCUUGAGAUCACUCUGACAAAGGCUGACUCGGAGCAGCUGGCGCGCUCCAUCGCUGAGGAGCAGUACUCAGACCUGGAGAAGGAGAAAAUAAUGAAGGAGCUGGAACUGAAGGAAAUGAUGGCCCGCCAUCGUCAAGAGCUCGCUGAGAAGGACAUCACCAUCAGUUCGCUGGAGGAGGCCAAUCGCACGCUGACAAGUGAUGUCGCCAACCUGGCCAAUGAGAAGGAGGAGCUGAACAACAAACUGAAGGAGGCAAUAGAAGAGUCAGAGAAGUCAAAGGAUUGGGAGCAGCAGAUCAGCCAGAUGAAGCAGGCAUUUGAGAAGCAGCUGCAGUCCGAGAGGACACUGAAAACUCAGGCUGUCAACAAGCUGGCAGAGAUCAUGAACAGGAAGGAGGUCCGUGGCGGAGGCAGUCGCCGUGGGAACGACACAGACAUGCGGCGAAAGGAGAAGGAGAACAGGAAGCUGCAGUUGGAGCUGCGGUCGGAGAAGGAAAAACUCAACAGCACCAUCAUCAAAUACCAGAGAGAGAUCAACGAAAUGCAAGCGCAAUUGGCGGAUGAGAGCCAAAUGCGUAUCGAGCUGCAGAUGGCUCUGGACAGUAAGGACAGUGAUAUCGAGCAGCUGAGGAACCUCCUGCAGUCGCUCAGUGUUCAAUCAAUGGACUCUGCCAGUGUUAGCAGUGGGCCAGAGUUUGAUGCUGACGAUGCGUACACAGAAACAAGGCUUGAGGGGUGGCUCUCUCUCCCUGUAAGAAACAACACCAAGAAGUUUGGAUGGGAGAAAAAGUAUGUUGUAGUGAGCAGCAAGAAGAUUCUCUUCUACAACAGUGAGCAAGACAGAGAGCAGUCCAUUCCCUACAUGGUGCUUGAUAUAGACAAACUCUUCCAUGUGAGGCCUGUCACUCAAACAGAUGUGUACCGUGCUGAUGCCAAAGAGAUUCCCAGGAUAUUCCAGAUUCUUUAUGCCAAUGAAGGGGAAAGCAAAAAGGAGCCAGAGUUUCCUGUGGAGCCACUGGCCAUUGGAGAGAAGUCCAGCUACAUCUGCCACAAGGGCCACGAGUUCAUCCCCACGCUCUACCACUUCCCCACCAACUGCGAGGCGUGCACCAAGCCUCUGUGGAAUAUGUUCAAGCCGCCGCCUGCUCUGGAAUGCCGGCGUUGCCACAUUAAGUGCCACAAAGACCAUAUGGAUAAGAAGGAGGAGAUCAUUGCUCCCUGCAAAGUAAACUACGAUGUGUCUACGGCCAAGAACCUGCUGCUGUUGGCCGUGUCCCAGGAGGAGCAGCAGAAGUGGGUGAGCCGGCUGGUCAAGAAGAUUCCCAAGAAGCCGCCGCCACCAGAGCACUUUGCACGCUCCUCGCCACGCGCGUCCAUGAAGGUUCAGCCCAGCCAGUCUAUGAGGAGGCCCAGUCGACAGCUCCCCACCAGCAAGAGCAGCCCUCGCAGGUCAAAUGGCUUCAAAAUGAGGCGAGAAGAAUCCAACAGUGGACACUGGUAUAAAUGACGACUUCCCUAAUCUUUUGCCUCCUUCAGCCGGAUGUUUUCCUGUAAACGACUAAAUUCCUAAAUUUAACCUUGUUUGGGAGCGUGGUGCAUCUUCGAAGUGCUGGGAUGUUCUUCCUAAAUCAAAGACUGUAUACAAAGCUCCGUUUGCAGAACAGCACACUGAACAACACAUCACUUCUCCACAACCCACCCUGUCCUGCUUCAGCCUGUGAGAGUUACAAAGUCUCUUUCCCCUUUUGUUGAACUGUAGCGGUUCGAUCUUUCCAGCAAGCUGGAUGGCUUGUAAGCGUAUUAGCUGAAGUCUUCUCUUGGUCCCUCGACUAGAGCAAUUUGGUGUCUCUGGGGGGGCUGGAGCAGCUCGUUCAGCUCCCACAGAACAUAAGAGAGCUCUUAAACGCCCGACUAGGGCUCGCAGGAAGGGGAUACACUUACCUCAACACCUCUCACCAGGACACGCUGUCUGAUUGAAGGAACCAGCAGGAAAACUCUCGACUCCACCUUUGGGAAUUCUUGUGGCCAAAUAAAAAAGACAUUUUUGUGUUUAAUGAUUGUGAACAAUAUUAAGGGUUUAAUGGGGAACACUACACUCAGAAGAUAGUAAAUCUUUUAAUUUCUUGGCUAAAUACAGUUGAGUUGAACUAGAGUUGAACUUGAUCCCAGAUACAAGAUCUGUACUUUGGCUUUUUCAAACUCUUUAACAUAUUGUUUGUAGCUUCCUGCUUCUCACCAUUCUGCUUUCAGGUGCGUGUCCACACGGGUCACAGAAACUUGAAUAAAGCACUCAAGCAAACGAGCCGGGACUUUUGGGAAAGUCAGUCAGGUGGGGCAGGAGUGUCAGAUUCCUCUUGAAUUUGAGCACAUAGUUCCUUGAGUGCCUCUUAUUCAGGUUUCUGACUCAGGCGCGCUCUGAAUCACUGGUUUGUCGUAUGAUUACAGUAACGGUUAUAAGUGAACAGAAUCUUGCUCUGAAUGGCAUUAGAUGGAGGACGAGACAUGAGAUCCUCAUAAUCUUACAAACCUGCACUGUCAGUUCUGAGGGUUAAUGUUUACUGAAAUCAAGGGGUGCACCGUUAAUGCUUUUCUGAUCCGAGCUCAGCUCCUUUGUUGUUUGAAUGUACAUCUGGGCUUUACCAGAGACGACACACAAGCAUUGUAUUACUUCUAUCCGAAUAUAUACUUGACUGAAGCCCCCUUUCAUCACCAACUACUCUGAGUGAACUUGCAUGUGUUUGCCUUUUCAGGCCUCACCCUUGAGUUCUGUCACCCACAGGCCUCCACCUAUUAACCAAUGUAGUUUUUCAGUCAUUCCUGACAAUGAAAAUGAGGGGAAUUCACCAAUGAGAAGCAGAAACAUUGAAGGUAUGCAAUCAUAUGCCAUGAGUCAAAAUACUGAGCAGCACUAUUCCAUUGAAAGUUUUUUUUUUUUUUUUUUUUUUUAAGUGUUUGUCCUGAUAUUUUUGUAUUAAAAGUAACCAAACUCUGAGUUUGGGCACAUUGUUGUGUGUAUGUGGCUUAUAUAACAGGUGAAGAGUAAACUAUGUGAGUAUGUGUGUGUGUGUGUGUGUGUGUGUGUGUGUGUGUGUGUGUGUGUGUGUGUAUGUGUGUACUGAGUGCUCUCCUUUAACCAAGAAGCAUGUUUUAUACAUAUAAAUAUACACAGUAUAUAUUUUACAUGCCUUACAGUGCACAUUAUAUUAUUUAUACAGCCUUGUCCACUUUGUAUUUAAGGGCUCUACAUCCAGAUUGCAUGUUUGCUACCAAACAGCUCUAUAAUAAUAACCACUUCAACAAUAAAG